CAGCCGCCGCGGUAAUACGUAGGGGACGAGCGUUGUCCGGAAUUACUGGGCGUAAAGGGCGCGUAGGCUGUGCUGCAAGUCAGCUGUGAAAUAUCUGGGCUUAACCUGGAUAUGCGGAUGAGACUGCAGUGCUGGAGUGCUGUAGAGGCAAGUGGAAUUCCCAGUGUAGCGGUGAAAUGCGUAGAUAUUGGGAAGAACACCGGUGGCGAAGGCGACUUGCUGGGCAGCAACUGACGCUGAGGCGCGAAAGCCAGGGGAGCGAACGGGAUUAGAUACCCCGGUAGUCCUGGCCGUAAACGAUGAAUGCUAGGUGUGGGUGUAGAGAUACAUUCGUGCCGGAGUUAACGCGAUAAGCAUUCCGCCUGGGGAGUACGGUCGCAAGAUUGAAACUUAAAGGAAUUGGCGGG
RNAcentral lists this ribosomal RNA (407 nucleotides) under uncultured microorganism. RNAcentral describes it as "bacterial SSU rRNA". It matches the Rfam family "Bacterial small subunit ribosomal RNA", at positions 509 to 917 of the family's 1533-position model. The record is from RNAcentral.